Molecule: ribosomal RNA, 250 nt
Filed under: uncultured prokaryote
Description: partial 16S ribosomal RNA
Rfam family: Bacterial small subunit ribosomal RNA
Source: RNAcentral
UACGUAGGUGGCAAGCGUUGUCCGGAUUUACUGGGUGUAAAGGGCGCGUAGGCGGGAGAGCAAGUCAGAUGUGGAUUGCCGGGGCUUAACCCCGGAGCUGCAUUUGAAACUGUUUUUCUUGAGUAUCGGAGAGGCAGGCGGAAUUCCUAGUGUAGCGGUGAAAUGCGUAGAUAUUAGGAGGAACACCAGUGGCGAAGGCGGCCUGCUGGACGACAACUGACGCUGAGGCGCGAAAGCGUGGGGAGCAAAC